RNAcentral lists this non-coding RNA (57 nucleotides) under Trypanosoma brucei brucei. Lineage: Eukaryota; Euglenozoa; Kinetoplastea; Trypanosomatida; Trypanosomatidae. The record is from RNAcentral.
AUAUAAAAUGAUAACACUAGAGAUUUGUAGUAUGAGAUAUGAUGAUAUUUAAUAUAU